This 253-nucleotide ribosomal RNA is filed under the name uncultured bacterium. RNAcentral's name for it is "partial 16S ribosomal RNA". It matches the Rfam family "Bacterial small subunit ribosomal RNA", at positions 524 to 776 of the family's 1533-position model. The record is from RNAcentral.
UACGGGGGGGGCAAGCGUUGUUCGGAAUUACUGGGCGUAAAGGGCUCGUAGGUGGCCAACUAAGUCAGACGUGAAAUCCCUCAGCUUAACUGGGGAACUGCGUCUGAUACUGGAUGGCUUGAGUUUGGGAGAGGGAUGCGGAAUUCCAGGUGUAGCGGUGAAAUGCGUAGAUAUCUGGAGGAACACCGGUGGCGAAGGCGGCAUCCUGGACCGGCAUUGACGCUGAGGCGCGAAGGCCAGGGGAGCAAAUGGG